Molecule: ribosomal RNA, 253 nt
Filed under: uncultured bacterium
Lineage: Bacteria
Description: partial 16S ribosomal RNA
Rfam family: Bacterial small subunit ribosomal RNA
Source: RNAcentral
UACGUAGGGUGCGAGCGUUAAUCGGAUUUACUGGGCGUAAAGCGUGCGCAGGCGGUCCGCUAAGACAGGUGUGAAAUCCCUGGGCUCAACCUAGGAAUUGCGCUUGUGACUGGCGGGCUAGAGUACGGUAGAGGGGGGUGGAAGUCCUGGUGUAGCAGUGAAAUGCGUAGAGAUCAGGAGGAACCCCGAUGGCGAAGGCAGACCCCUGGGCCUGUACUGACGCUCAGGCACGAAAGCGUGGGGAGCAAACAGG